AGUUCGUGGAGUGAUCUGUCUGCUUAAUUGCGUUUCGCAAAAGGUCAUCACUAACGCUUUCUGAGCACCUAACGUUCAGCGUUCGCCUUGUUUGCUGUUCUUUUUGUGACCAUUUAACCGUUGUUGUGUGUCUCUGUGUUCGGCGGGUGGACGCUCACAUUCUUAGUGUCUCCGGAUGCUUUGCGAUGUGCUUUGCUGUCUCCCCCGACACUUGAUGCGCGGCGCGGGACGGUUACUUAGAGCAGUUGAGGUUUGAAUGCCGUUGGGUUACUUUUCAAGUCUCAGUAUAGCGUGUUGACCUUGAAAGCAACGAACGUGACCGCAGCCUCUUGUUGCCCUGCUUGUUUUUGUGUAUUUUUAAUACGCAAAACACACACGGGUCAAACUAGAGGGACCGCUCGAUAUAUGUUAAAACAGAGGAAGGUUGCGGCAAUAACAGG
This 440-nucleotide ribosomal RNA is filed under the name Foraminifera sp. Its description in RNAcentral is "partial small subunit ribosomal RNA". The record is from RNAcentral. Lineage: Eukaryota; Foraminifera.